This 86-nucleotide ribosomal RNA is filed under the name Methylobacterium sp. UNCCL125. Its description in RNAcentral is "16S rRNA. Bacterial SSU". It matches the Rfam family "Bacterial small subunit ribosomal RNA", at positions 19 to 115 of the family's 1533-position model. The record is from RNAcentral. Lineage: Bacteria; Pseudomonadati; Pseudomonadota; Alphaproteobacteria; Hyphomicrobiales; Methylobacteriaceae.
CUGGCUCAGAGCGAACGCUGGCGGCAGGCUUAACACAUGCAAGUCGAGCGGACCUUUCGGGGUCAGCGGCGGACGGGUGAGUAACG